UGUGCGGCUGAAUAUUAUUAAAAAAUGAAAUAUCCAUACUAUUUUUAUUUUUAACAAUUAAUCUGCUAAAACUACCUGUGUAAGCCACGUUUUAUGAUUAAGCACGCACUAUGAGUAUAAUUUGUGGCUGUGGGACUGAAUAUUAUUUAAAAAAAAUGAAAAAUCUAUACUAUUUUUAUGCCCCCCUUCGAAGAAGAGAGGGUAUAUUGCUUUGCUCAUGUCGGUCGGUCGGUCGGUCCGUCCGUCAACCAGGUGGUUUCCGGAUGAUAACUCAAGAACACUUGGGGCUAGGAUCAUGAAACUUCAUAUGUACAUUGAUCAUGACUCGCGGAUGACCCCUAUUGAUUUUGAGGUCACUAGGUCAAAGGUCAAGGUCAUAGGUGAAGGUCACAGUUACUGGAAAUAGGCAUUUUAAGGAUUUAGCAUGGUUCAAACAAGGGAAACAACUACGGUUUAUGCAUGUUCUUUUUAUUACAGAUUUGCUUCCCUUUAAUUCAUUCAAAAUCUCAUUUUACAGUAGUAGUGACAAAGUUUAAGCUGCAUAGAAUAAUACUUGAUUUAUUGAUGAUGCUUUAUUUGUGCGGUUCCUUUCUUCUCACAAUAACAAUUGUAUUUUUGAUGUAUACUUAAAGAUGCAUUUAUUUAGAAUAUAUAUAUACUUAAAGAUGCAUUUAUUUAGAAUAUAUAUAUACUUAAAGAUGCAUUUAUUUAGAAUAUAUAUAUUUAGCUGUA
Molecule: long non-coding RNA, 732 nt
Organism: Dreissena polymorpha
Lineage: Eukaryota; Metazoa; Mollusca; Bivalvia; Myida; Dreissenidae
Exons: 2
Source: RefSeq, a predicted model, not a curated record